UUUAUCGGAGAGUUUGAUCCUGGCUCAGGACGAACGCUGGCGGCGUGCCUAAUACAUGCAAGUCGAGCGGACAGAUGGGAGCUUGCUCCCUGAUGU
RNAcentral lists this ribosomal RNA (96 nucleotides) under Bacillus sp. CPSM8. RNAcentral describes it as "partial 16S ribosomal RNA". It matches the Rfam family "Bacterial small subunit ribosomal RNA", at positions 1 to 93 of the family's 1533-position model. RNAcentral also lists the same sequence under 1 other name. The record is from RNAcentral. Lineage: Bacteria; Bacillati; Bacillota; Bacilli; Caryophanales; Bacillaceae.